GGAUACCUUCGGGACCCGUCUUGAAACACGGACCAAGGAGUCUAACAUAUGUGCAAGUUAUUGGGAGAUAAACCUAAUAGCGUAAUUAACUUGACUAAUAAUGGGAUUAGUUUUUUAACUAUUUAUAGAUAAUUAACACAAUCCCGGGGCGUUCUAUAUAGUUAUGUAUAAUAAUAUUUAUAUUAUUUAUGCCUCUAACUGGAACGUACCUUGAGCAUAUAUGCUGUGACCCGAAAGAUGGUGAACUAUACUUGAUCAGGUUGAAGUCAGGGGAAACCCUGAUGGAAGACCGAAACAGUUCUGACGUGCAAAUCGAUUGUCAGAAUUGAGUAUAGGGGCGAAAGACCAAUCGAACCAUCUAGUAGCUGGUUCCUUCCGAAGUUUCCCUCAGGAUAGCUGGUGCAUUUUAAUGUUAUAUAAAAUAAUCUUAUCUGGUAAAGCGAAUGAUUAGAGGCCUUAGGGUCGAAACGAUCUUAACCUAUUCUCAAACUUUAAAUGGGUAAGAACCUUAACUUUCUUGAUAUGAAGUUUAAGGUUAUGAUAUAAUGUGCCCAGUGGGCCACUUUUGGUAAGCAGAACUGGCGCUGUGGGAUGAACCAAACGUAAUGUUACGGUGCCCAAAUUAACAACUCAUGCAGAAACCAUGAAAGGCGUUGGUUGCUUAAAACAGCAGGACGGUGAUCAUGGAAGUCGAAAUCCGCUAAGGAGUGUGUAACAACUCACCUGCCGAAGCAACUAGCCCUUAAAAUGGAUGGCGCUUAAGUUGUAUACCUAUUCAUUACCGCUAAAGUAGAUGAUUUAUAUUACUUGUGAUAUAAAUUUUGAAACUUUAGUGAGUAGGAAGGUACAAUGGUAUGCGUAGAAGUGUUUGGCGUAAGCCUUCAUGGAGCUGCCAUUGGCACAGAUCUUGGUGGUAGUAGCAAAUAAUCGAAUGAGACCUUGGAGGACUGAAGUUGGAGAAGGGUUUCGUGUGAACAGUGGUUGAUCACGAGUUAGUCGGUCCUAAGUUCAAGGCGAAAGCCGAAAAUUUUCAAGUAAAAAAUCAGUGAGUAAUAUUGUCAAAUCUUUUAUGAUUUUUAAAUACUUGAAUAAUUUUGAACGAAAGGGAAUACGGUUCCAAUUCCGUAACCUGUUGAGUAUCCGUUUGUUAUUAAAUAUGGGCCUCGUGCUCAUCCUGGCAACAGGAACGACCAUAAAGAAGCCGUCGAGAGAUAUCGGAAGAGUUUUCUUUUCUGUUUUAUAGCCGUACUACCAUGGAAGUCUUUCGCAGAGAGAUAUGGUAGAUGGGCUAGAAGAGCAUGACAUAUACUGUUGUGUCGAUAUUUUCUCCUCGGACCUUGAAAAUUUAUGGUGGGGACACGCAAACUUCUCAACAGGCCAUACCAAUAUCCGCAGCUGGUCUCCAAGGUGAAGAGUCUCUAGUCGAUAGAAUAAUGUAGGUAAGGGAAGUCGGCAAAUUAGAUCCGUAACUUCGGGAUAAGGAUUGGCUCUGAAGAUUGAGAUAGUCGGGCUUGAUUGGGAAACAAUAACAUGGUUUAUGUGCUCGUUCUGGGUAAAUAGAGUUUCUAUCAUUUAUGGUAGUUACUUGUUCCCCGGAUAGUUUAGUUACGUAGCCAAUUGUGGAACUUUCUUGCUAAAAUUUUUAAGAAUACUAAUUGGGUUAAACCAGUUAGUUCUUAUUAAUUAUAACGAUUAUCAAUUAACAAUCAAUUCAGAACUGGCACGGACUUGGGGAAUCCGACUGUCUAAUUAAAACAAAGCAUUGUGAUGGCCCUAGCGGGUGUUGACACAAUGUGAUUUCUGCCCAGUGCUCUGAAUGUCAAAGUGAAGAAAUUCAAGUAAGCGCGGGUCAACGGCGGGAGUAACUAUGACUCUCUUAAGGUAGCCAAAUGCCUCGUCAUCUAAUUAGUGACGCGCAUGAAUGGAUUAACGAGAUUCCUACUGUCCCUAUCUACUCGCUUUUUGACUGCCAUUCGAAGCAGACGUGUUUUUCAAGCGGUCCGCUAUACCGUCGUUCGAAUAAAGUAAAAAGUGAUUUUUCCAAGUGGAAAAGACAUCAAAAUUGCCGCGAGAUCACGCGCUGUUCGUGAGUGAAAUCGGGUGUUAAUUUGGUGAAAGAACAAAGCAGAUAUUUGCAAAUUAAUAUUUGCAAAAUAAACGCUAAAAAGAACCACGUGCGGAACCCUAGUUCGUAAACAAGUGCGAAUAGUUCGACAACAAGUCGGAAUAGUUCGACAGCACGUUCGAGUUCGAAGCUUUGGUUCGAAGCUUUGGCUCGAGUUCGAAGCGUUCGGUUCGUGUCUCCGCUGAGACGUUGGUUCGAGUCUCCACUAAGUGCCGAUUAGUUGAGUCACGCCAAUAGAGGUAGCCACAACCCGCCGGGCUAUGGAAAUAGAGACGGAGGCCGACGCCAGCGACACUAGCGUGGCUAGUGUAGGGGCGAGCUCGUCGUCGAGCGUUCCCGCCCGCAGGCGGGUUCGGCCGAAGUCCUCAGCCGCCAAACAGGGAGCCAAAAAGAUCGGGCUUGGGAUUGGGCUAGCUGGAGAGCGGCCGAUCCCAGCCGAGAGAUCGCCGCCAACGUCGCUCCCCUUUGAGCAGGCUCCAUCCACCUCUGCCGCUGCCGCUGCCACCACCGCUGCCAGUACUUCUGCCAGUACUUCUGCCGCCGCUGCCGCCACCGCUGCCGCCACCGCUGCCGCCACCGCUGCCACCACCGCUGCCACCACCGCUGCCACAUGCCCGGCAACUGACAUUGU
This 2756-nucleotide ribosomal RNA is filed under the name Drosophila persimilis. RNAcentral describes it as "eukaryotic LSU rRNA". The stretch from base 1 to 2015 matches the Rfam family "Eukaryotic large subunit ribosomal RNA", at positions 634 to 3401 of the family's 3401-position model. The record is from RNAcentral. Lineage: Eukaryota; Metazoa; Arthropoda; Insecta; Diptera; Drosophilidae.